AAGAGAGUGAAGUGAGGAGUUUCCUACAGUGUCUGCCUUAUAUCUCACAGCUCAGGUUUGAUCCUCAGAGCUCAGAUCUUCCUGAACAAACCAGGUUCUUAGUGAAUCUGUUCUGUGCAGCAGCAGAGAGAGAACAGCAGACAGGAGAGAAGAUGCUGCAGCUGUUAGCAUCUGUCUGCAGAUAUCAAACAUUCCUUUUAGAUUCUAGUAGAAAAUAUCGCCUUGACUUCCUGCUGGAUCUGUUCUCCCAGAUGAAGGACCGUGAGACUAAAACAGGUCUGAGUCUCCUUCCAUCAUUACAGUCAGUUUUCCAGUCAGUUCCUUCAGUCUGGACCAUAAACCUCUCAGAGAGAAAGACCUCCAUCCUCCUGGAAGUGCUGAAACUUCAACCAGAGAAGAAACCAGUGAAGCUGACAGGCUGCUCACAGGAAGAGAGUGAAGUGAGGAGUUUCCUCCAGUUUCUGCCUUAUAUCUCAGAGCUCAGGUUUGAUCCUCAGAGAUCAGAUCUUCCUAAACAAACCAGGCUCUUAGUGAAUCUGUUCUGUGCAGCAACAGAGAGAGAAC
Long non-coding RNA from Fundulus heteroclitus (mummichog), 564 nucleotides. RefSeq lists it as uncharacterized. The transcript is spliced from 3 exons. Lineage: Eukaryota; Metazoa; Chordata; Actinopteri; Cyprinodontiformes; Fundulidae. The record is from RefSeq and is a predicted model, not a curated record.